RNAcentral lists this ribosomal RNA (340 nucleotides) under uncultured bacterium. RNAcentral describes it as "bacterial SSU rRNA". It matches the Rfam family "Bacterial small subunit ribosomal RNA", at positions 28 to 361 of the family's 1533-position model. The record is from RNAcentral.
GAUGAACGCUAGCUACAGGCUUAACACAUGCAAGUCGAGGGGCAGCAUGGUCUUAGCUUGCUAAGGCCGAUGGCGACCGGCGCACGGGUGAGUAACACGUAUCCAACCUGCCGUCUACUCUUGGACAGCCUUCUGAAAGGAAGAUUAAUACAAGAUGGCAUCAUGAGUCCGCAUGUUCACAUGAUUAAAGGUAUUCCGGUAGACGAUGGGAUGCGUUCCAUUAGAUAGUAGCGGGGUAACGGCCCACCUAAAGCCGACGAUGGAUAGGGGUUCUGAGAGGAAGGUCCCCACAUUGGAACUGAGACACGGUCCAAACUCCUACGGAGGCAGCAGUGAGGAA